CGGUGUUUAACUGGCGUGAUGUGGGACGUCCUACCGGUGGGCUUAGCCUCGCGAGGGGCGGCCCAACUAAUAUCCCGUCGCGGUGCUCUUUACUGAGUGUCGAGUCGGGCCGGUACGUUUACUUUGAACAAAUUAGAGUGCUUAAAGCAGGCUAUCCUCGCCUGAAUACUGCGUGCAUGGAAUAAUGGAAUAGGACCUCGGUUCUAUUUUGCUGGUUUUCGGAACCCCGAGGUAAUGAUUAAUAGGGACAGAUGGGGGCAUUCGUAUUGCGACGUUAGGGGUGAAAUUCUUGGAUCGUCGCAAGACGGACAGAAGCGAAAGCAUUUGCCAAAAAUGUUUUCAUUAAUCAAGAACGAAAGUUAGAGGUUCGAAGGCGAUCAGAUACCGCCCUAGUUCUAACCAUAAACGAUGCCAGCUAGCGAUCCGCCGAAGUUCCUCCGAUGACUCGGCGGGCAGCUUCCGGGAAACCAAAGCUUUUGGGUUCCGGGGGAAGUAUGGUUGCAAAGCUGAAACUUAAAGGAAUUGACGGAAGGGCACCACCAGGAGUGGAGCCUGCGGCUUAAUUUGACUCAACACGGGAAACCUCACCAGGCCCAGACACCGGAAGGAUUGACAGAUUGAUAGCUCUUUCUUGAUUCGGUGGGUGGUGGUGCAUGGCCGUUCUUAGUUGGUGGAGCGAUUUGUCUGGUUAAUUCCGAUAACGAACGAGACUCUAGCCUGCUAAAUAGGCGUACCUUAUGGUAUCGCGAAGGCCCCCGGCUUCGGCCGGUGGGUUUUUACUACCAACGUACAAACAAAUCUUCUUAGAGGGACAGGCGG
This 819-nucleotide ribosomal RNA is filed under the name uncultured eukaryote. RNAcentral's name for it is "SSU rRNA". It matches the Rfam family "Eukaryotic small subunit ribosomal RNA", at positions 629 to 1426 of the family's 1831-position model. The record is from RNAcentral.